Hippocampus zosterae (dwarf seahorse) is the source of this 1161-nucleotide long non-coding RNA. RefSeq lists it as uncharacterized. The record is from RefSeq and is a predicted model, not a curated record. The transcript is spliced from 3 exons. NCBI's taxonomy places the organism in Eukaryota, Metazoa, Chordata, Actinopteri, Syngnathiformes, Syngnathidae.
AUUUUGAAAAAUUACCGGAUUCUCUGUUACACCCUUCUACAGUGUUUCACUACUUACGCAGGUCAAGGCGCGCAUAUCGGCCAGGUGCUAUGUUACCGCUAAAAUGAAACCCAGUAGCUAGCAAAAUGAGUAUAAAAAAAACAACAAACGUCUUUAUUAAGUUUCUUUGGGAAGGGGAAAAGACUCAGUCAGGAGACAGAAGAGGAGCCUACGACUUCCAAGAAAAAGAAGGCUACAUUUAAUAGACAGUACAGCAUCAGGAAUCAUACUUAAAAUACGAUUUUAUCGCAACGGGCGAUCCCCACGCACCAAAAACACUCAGCAUAAUAUGCGGCGAUGGCCGAAAAAGCUGAGCCGCCCUCAAUGCUUGAUUGCAGACUAAUCCCACAGAAAGACAGCAACACCGACUACAAUCUCCCUUUGAGCAAUGGCUGCAGUGCACAGCAGUGACCUCAUCACCUCAACCCCCUCCUGAGCAAGCUUUGAAACCUGAGAAAGCAGUUCUGACCUUUGGCAUUCUGCCUCCCACCUCUCAUGGCAAGAAGAAGCCCACCCCGUCCUUGUUUCUUCCCCCGUUUCGGACAGGAUGUGACCUACGAGGAGUGCUCUGUAGGAGGGCCUUGACCCCAGACACUGUCCAGACUACGUGUCUGGACCCACCGAGGCCUGCCGGGCUGACAUCAAGACCUGAUAACGAGAUGUAUGAGGACUCAGUUCAAAACAGUCAGAUAUUCUCGAUCAAAAACAGCGGUGGGGGUUUCACACAGUGAUGGGAGUCAUUUCUUUGGAUGUGCACACCUUUUGCUACCUUGAAAAUGCUUCCCAAUGGCAUUUUUGAAUCUUCGGCAACUCAGUGCACUCACUCGGCACGUAUUGUACUACUCCUCUCUCUGUGAUUUGGGUUUCCACUUUCCAGACAUUAGCUUUCCUACCGAUGUCCAUUUUUUUCUGACCAAUAAAAUAUAUCCUGCUAGUAUUUUGGAAUCAUCGGCAAUUCCAGGCAUUGAGUUGACAUGUUUUACUCCACCUCUCUGUGACUUGGGUGUCUGUUUAAGUCCCGCCUUCCUGUUCAUUUUGAUUUAGAGCAAUAUUCAUCUGGAAGAUGUGCCGGUUUCUGUAUUCAUGUCUGCACUUAAUUAAAAAUGAGUUAUGCCAGUCUUG